CAGCCGCCGCGGGAAUACGGAGGGUGCAAGCGUUAAUCGGAAUUACUGGGCGUAAAGCGUGCGUAGGCGGCUUUUUAAGUCGGAUGUGAAAUCCCUGAGCUUAACUUAGGAAUUGCAUUCGAUACUGGGAAGCUAGAGUAUGGGAGAGGAUGGUAGAAUUCCAGGUGUAGCGGUGAAAUGCGUAGAGAUCUGGAGGAAUACCGAUGGCGAAGGCAGCCAUCUGGCCUAAUACUGACGCUGAGGUACGAAAGCAUGGGGAGCAAACAGGAUUAGAUACCCGCGUAGUCCCUGUCUCUUAUAC
Molecule: ribosomal RNA, 301 nt
Filed under: uncultured bacterium
Lineage: Bacteria
Description: partial 16S ribosomal RNA
Rfam family: Bacterial small subunit ribosomal RNA
Source: RNAcentral